CCGGCGGCAGAAGAAGAAACGGGGGAAAUUGCGCCAUUGCUCGGUCGUGCGUUAUUCGCGCGUGAACAGAGAGCGAUCGGAACCGCUGAACCGCGCUUCAAUGAUCAACUUCUGAAACAGAGACGAAGAGUUUGUGACAGCAGCCAUGAGGCGGACUAAAGCGGACGUGGAGCGCUACAUCUCUUCAGUUCAGAGCGCCUCUCCCUCGCAGAAAGCGAGGCCAGUCAAAGGAUUUCUGUUUGCUAAGCUAUACUUUGAGGCGAAGGAGUAUGAGCUGGCUAAAAGACAUGUUUCAGAGUAUCUGAGCGCCCAG
Puntigrus tetrazona (Sumatra barb) is the source of this 313-nucleotide long non-coding RNA. RefSeq lists it as uncharacterized. The transcript is spliced from 3 exons. Lineage: Eukaryota; Metazoa; Chordata; Actinopteri; Cypriniformes; Cyprinidae. The record is from RefSeq and is a predicted model, not a curated record.